Molecule: long non-coding RNA, 280 nt
Organism: Triticum aestivum (bread wheat)
Lineage: Eukaryota; Viridiplantae; Streptophyta; Magnoliopsida; Poales; Poaceae
Exons: 3
Source: RefSeq, a predicted model, not a curated record
GGCAGCGGCAGACACCUACUUCGACCAAGAUCCAAGAACAUGAGCACCGGCCAUCUUAAAGCCCACCAUCAACAAUCUCGAGUGGACGGUGUUUGGUUUGUUCUUUCAACUCUUGAUUCCUGAGCUACUACUGGAUCUUGCAUCUGUGUUUAGCUAGUAGAGUAUAAAAUGCAAAUGCUUAUGACCCGGACUAUGAAUGAUUGUUUUAAUGUUGCUCAUCUAUUGCAAUGAUUGUCUAAGCUCAAAAUAGUAAUCAUUACUGUCUCUUGCUUUAGUAUAU